GCGCAGCUCCGAGGGCUGGCGGCUCCGGGCGCCCUGGCUUCCGCGCCCACUGGUUGCUCGCUCCGGGGCAGGGCUCGCGAUAGCGAGCGGGAGCAGGGCGCGGGGCGGCACCGGGUCCGAAGCGAGGAAGCCGGAAGCCAGGCGCGGAGAGCCUCCCCCUUCGACUGCGGCCUCGCUUGGCGCCUUCUGCGCGCUUGGGAUCCCGGAGCCUACCUAGGUUCUGCGUGCUCCCGCCCAGGCCGGUGCCCGCUGCCCGCCUGCGCCCCAGGCGGGUCUCAGGCCCCGGCUGCUCCCGGCCGAAGCCCCGAGUGCGAGAUUGAGCGUCCUGAGCGCCUGACCGCAGCCCUGGACCGCCUGCGGCAGCGCGGCCUGGAACAGAGGUGUCUGCUGUUGUCAGCCCGCGAGGCCUCGGAAGAGGAGCUGGGCCUGGUGCACAGCCCAGAGUAUGUAUCCCUGGUCAGGGAGACCCAGGUCCUAGGCAAGGAGGAGCUGCAGGCGCUGUCCGGACAGUUCGACGCCAUCUGCUUCCACCCGAGUACCUUUCACUGUGCGCGGCUGGCCGCAGGGGCUGGACUG
Molecule: small RNA, 576 nt
Filed under: Pongo abelii (Sumatran orangutan)
Lineage: Eukaryota; Metazoa; Chordata; Mammalia; Primates; Hominidae
Description: processed transcript
Source: RNAcentral